UACGAAGGGGGCUAGCGUUGCUCGGAAUCACUGGGCGUAAAGGGCGCGUAGGCGGCCCCGCAAGUCGGGCGUGAAAUCCCCGGGCUCAACCCGGGGGCUGCGCCCGAGACUGCGGGGCUGGAGGACGGGAGAGGCUCGCGGAAUUCCCAGUGUAGAGGUGAAAUUCGUAGAUAUUGGGAAGAACACCGGUGGCGAAGGCGGCGAGCUAGCCCGUUUCUGACGCUGAGGCGCGACAGCGUGGGGAG
RNAcentral lists this ribosomal RNA (245 nucleotides) under uncultured Craurococcus sp. Its description in RNAcentral is "partial 16S ribosomal RNA". It matches the Rfam family "Bacterial small subunit ribosomal RNA", at positions 524 to 768 of the family's 1533-position model. Lineage: Bacteria; Pseudomonadati; Pseudomonadota; Alphaproteobacteria; Acetobacterales; Acetobacteraceae. The record is from RNAcentral.